ACGAGCGCACCCCUGUCGUUAGUUGCCAGCGGGUCAUGCCGGGGACUCUAACGAGACUGCCGGUGUCAAACCGGAGGAAGGUGGGGAUGACGUCAAGUCCUCAUGGCCUUUAUGUCCAGGGAUGCACACGUGCUACAAUGGCGCGUACAAAGCGAUGCAAUGCCGCGAGGCGGAGCAAAUCGCAAAAAGCAUGCCCCAGUUCAGAUUGCAGGCUGCAACUCGACUGCAUGAAGUCGGAAUCGCUAGUAAUCGGAGAUCAGCUACGCUCCGGUGAAUACGUUC
This 282-nucleotide ribosomal RNA is filed under the name uncultured bacterium. RNAcentral describes it as "partial 16S ribosomal RNA". It matches the Rfam family "Bacterial small subunit ribosomal RNA", at positions 1092 to 1373 of the family's 1533-position model. The record is from RNAcentral.